Molecule: long non-coding RNA, 869 nt
Organism: Ostrinia nubilalis (European corn borer)
Lineage: Eukaryota; Metazoa; Arthropoda; Insecta; Lepidoptera; Crambidae
Exons: 2
Source: RefSeq, a predicted model, not a curated record
CUUUCCCUUCCUAUUUUAAUCGAUUUGUGCUAAUAUUGUGUCGCGUUUGCGGAUUUCAGUCGAUAUUUCAACCGUUACAACUACCUACCUACGUUGUCGCGUUGGUGGGUGCCGGGUCUGCCUAUUGCAACGAGCGUCGGGGUGAUCUAUACGAUUAUCCCUCCGACUACCUUCCCUUAACUCCAUCCCACUUCCUCAUUGGCCGCCCCCUGACCGCUCCAGCCGCUGUUGACAUCACCGAGGCACAGACUAGACGCCUGACACGCUACGACAGGAUCGAACAGCUUCGCCAACACUUCUGGAAGCGCUGGGCCACUGAAUACGUCACUGAGCUUCAAAUUCGAACCAAGUGGAAGACAAACACAAAUGAAAUAAAACUGGAUAGUCUAGUUUUAAUCAAGGACGAUCAACAACCACCACUCAAGUGGAGAUUGGGAAGAAUUGCUGAAAUUUUUCCCGGCAAAGAUGGAGUUGCACGCGUCGCAAACAUUCGAACAUCGACUGGAAUAGUGAAGCGGGCGUUUUCAAAACUUUGUCCUCUUCCGCUUCCUACAACAAAUGGAAAUGAAGAUUGCAUCGCUUCAAUCAACAAUCAAUGAAACUGAACGAAGAUCGAAGAACCUACUAUCCGACUACAUUUUGAAAGUCAAUCAUGAGCUUUCAAGGCUGGCGGUAUGUUAGCGCCAUAUAUGGGCGCAAGAAAACAACUCAUGACGUCAAAGGCGCGGAACCAGAGUGAAGAUCGCAGCUAACUUCGCGCCGCUCCGCCCUCCUGUCAACUUAAAUCGAACGUUUUAAACACUCGACAAUUUGAUCUCGUUGCAUACAGUCUGUAAACCUGUCACUUUAAAUAAACGUUAAAACCGUAA